GCGGACGUAGUUCAAUGGUAGAACAUCAGCUUCCCAAGCUGAGAAUGCGGGUUCGAUCCCCGUCGUCCGCUCCA
This 74-nucleotide transfer RNA is filed under the name Pseudonocardiales bacterium. Its description in RNAcentral is "tRNA-Gly". It matches the Rfam family "tRNA". Rfam says of the family: Transfer RNA (tRNA) molecules are approximately 80 nucleotides in length. Their secondary structure includes four short double-helical elements and three loops (D, anti-codon, and T loops). The record is from RNAcentral. Lineage: Bacteria; Bacillati; Actinomycetota; Actinomycetes; Pseudonocardiales.